This 880-nucleotide ribosomal RNA is filed under the name uncultured organism. RNAcentral describes it as "bacterial SSU rRNA". It matches the Rfam family "Bacterial small subunit ribosomal RNA", at positions 13 to 936 of the family's 1533-position model. The record is from RNAcentral.
UUGAUCCUGGCUCAGGAUGAACGCUGGCGGUCUGCUUAACACAUGCAAGUCGAACGCAACCUUCGGGUUGAGUGGCGGACGGGUGAGUAACGCGUGAGAAUCUGCCUUGGGGUCGGGGACAACCACUGGAAACGGUGGCUAAUACCGGAUAAGCCUUUGGGUAAAAGAUUUAUUGCCCCAAGAGGAGCUCGCGUCUGAUUAGCUAGUUGGUGAGGUAAGAGCUCACCAAGGCAGCGAUCAGUAGCUGGUCUGAGAGGACGAUCAGCCACACUGGGACUGAGACACGGCCCAGACUCCUACGGGAGGCAGCAGUGGGGAAUUUUCCGCAAUGGGCGAAAGCCUGACGGAGCAAGACCGCGUGAGGGAGGAAGGCUCUUGGGUUGUAAACCUCUUUUCUCAGGGAAGAAGCUCUGACGGUACCUGAGGAAUCAGCCUCGGCUAACUCCGUGCCAGCAGCCGCGGUAAUACGGAGGAGGCAAGCGUUAUCCGGAAUUAUUGGGCGUAAAGCGUCCGCAGGUGGCGAUUCAAGUCUGCUGUCAAAGCACGGGGCUUAACUCCGUUAAGGCAGUGGAAACUGAAUAGCUAGAGUGCCGUAGGGGUAGAGGGAAUUCCCGGUGUAGCGGUGAAAUGCGUAGAGAUCGGGAAGAACAUCGGUGGCGAAAGCGCUCUACUGGACGGCAACUGACACUCAGGGACGAAAGCUAGGGGAGCGAAUGGGAUUAGAUACCCCAGUAGUCCUAGCUGUAAACGAUGGAUACUAGGUGUAGCUUGUAUCGACCCGAGCUGUGCCGAAGCUAACGCGUUACGUAUCCCGCCUGGGGAAGUACGCACGCAAGUGUGAAACUCAAAGGAAUUGACGGUGGCCCGCACAAGCGGUGGA